RNAcentral lists this ribosomal RNA (362 nucleotides) under uncultured bacterium. RNAcentral's name for it is "bacterial SSU rRNA". It matches the Rfam family "Bacterial small subunit ribosomal RNA", at positions 29 to 416 of the family's 1533-position model. The record is from RNAcentral.
AACGAACGCUGGCGGCAUGCCUAACACAUGCAAGUCGAACGAGACCUUCGGGUCUAGUGGCGCACGGGUGCGUAACGCGUGGGAACCUGCCUUUAGGUUCGGAAUAACUCAGAGAAAUUUGAGCUAAUACCGGAUAAUGUCUUCGGACCAAAGAUUUAUCGCCUUUAGAUGGGCCCGCGUAAGAUUAGCUAGUUGGUGGGGUAAAGGCCUACCAAGGCGACGAUCUUUAGCUGGUCUGAGAGGAUGAUCAGCCACACUGGGACUGAGACACGGCCCAGACUCCUACGGGAGGCAGCAGUGGGGAAUAUUGCGCAAAUGGGCGAAAAGCCUGACGCAGCGACGCCGCGUGGGUGAUGAAGGCC